UGGGGAAUAUUGGACAAUGGGCGCAAGCCUGAUCCAGCCAUGCCGCGUGAGUGAUGAAGGCCCUAGGGUUGUAAAGCUCUUUCGCCAGGGACGAUAAUGACGGUACUUGGAUAAGAAGCCCCGGCUAACUUCGUGCCAGCAGCCGCGGUAAUACGAAGGGGGCUAGCGUUGUUCGGAAUCACUGGGCGUAAAGCGCACGUAGGCGGAUCUUUAAGUCAGGGGUGAAAUCCCGAGGCUCAACCUCGGAACUGCCUUUGAUACUGGAGGUCUCGAGUCCGGGAGAGGUGAGUGGAACUGCGAGUGUAGAGGUGAAAUUCGUAGAUAUUCGCAAGAACACCAGUGGCGAAGGCGGCUCACUGGCCCGGUACUGACGCUGAGGUGCGAAAGCGUGGGGAGCAAACAGGAUUAGAUCACCCUGGUAGUCCACGCCGUAAACUAUGGAUGCUAGCCGUUGGGCAGCUUGCUGUUCAGUGGCGCAGCUAACGCUUUAAGCAUCCCGCCUGGGGAGUACGGUCGCAAGAUUAAAACUCAAAUGAAUUGACGGGGUCAUAGCUGUUUCCU
RNAcentral lists this ribosomal RNA (561 nucleotides) under uncultured bacterium. Its description in RNAcentral is "partial 16S ribosomal RNA". It matches the Rfam family "Bacterial small subunit ribosomal RNA", at positions 355 to 1375 of the family's 1533-position model. The record is from RNAcentral.